RNAcentral lists this ribosomal RNA (497 nucleotides) under uncultured bacterium. Its description in RNAcentral is "partial 16S ribosomal RNA". It matches the Rfam family "Bacterial small subunit ribosomal RNA", at positions 28 to 507 of the family's 1533-position model. The record is from RNAcentral.
GAUGAACGCUGGCGGCGUGCCUAAUACAUGCAAGUCGAGCGAACGGACGAGAAGCUUGCUUCUCUGAUGUUAGCGGCGGACGGGUGAGUAACACGUGGAUAACCUACCUAUAAGACUGGGAUAACUUCGGGAACCCGAAGCUAAUCCGGGAUAAUAUUUUGAACCGCAUGGUUAAAAGUUGAAAGAGGUUCUUGCUGUACCUAAUAAAUGAAUCCGCGCUGCAUUAGCUAGUUGGUAAGGUAACGGCUUACCAAGGCAACGAUGCAUAGCCGACCUGAGAGGGUGAUCGGCCACACUGGAACUGAGACACGGUCCAGACUCCUACGGGAGGCAGCAGUAGGGAAUCUUCCGCAAUGGGCGAAAGCCUGACGGAGCAACGCCGCGUGAGUGAUGAAGGUCUUCGGAUCGUAAAACUCUGUUAUUAGGGAAGAACAUAUGUGUAAGUAACUGUGCACAUCUUGACGGUACCUAAUCAGAAAGCCACGGCUAACUACGUG